GGGCUCCUUCGGGAGCACCGGCGGACUGCUCAGUAACACGUGGACAACCUACCCUCGGGUGGGGGAUAACCUCGGGAAACUGAGGCUAAUACCCCAUAGGCCUCGGAUACUGGAAGGUUCCGAGACCGAAAGCUCCGGCGCCCGAGGAUGGGUCUGCGGCCUAUCAGGUAGUUGGUGGUGUAAAGGACCACCAAGCCUACGACGGGUACGGGCCCUGAGAGGGGGAGCCCGGAGAUGGACUCUGAGACACGAGUCCAGGCCCUACGGGGCGCAGCAGGCGCGAAACCUUCGCAAUGCGCGAAAGCGCGACGAGGGGAGCCCGAGUGCCCUUCCUUUCGGGAGGGCUUUUCUGGAGCCUAAAAAGCUCCAGGAAUAAGGGCUGGGCAAGACGGGUGCCAGCCGCCGCGGUAAUACCCGCAGCUCGAGUGGUGACCACUAUUAUUGAGCCUAAAGCGUCCGUAGCCGGACUCGUAAAUCCCUGGGUAAAUCCUGGCGCUCAACGUCA
RNAcentral lists this ribosomal RNA (505 nucleotides) under uncultured archaeon. RNAcentral describes it as "bacterial SSU rRNA". It matches the Rfam family "Archaeal small subunit ribosomal RNA", at positions 62 to 567 of the family's 1478-position model. The record is from RNAcentral.